UCAAGUUUAACAACAUCCUUUUUAUAGAAGGGUGAACAGAACUGAACACAGUAUUCCAAAAGUGCCCUCACCAAUGUCCUGUACAACCACAACACGACAUCCCAAUUCCAAUACUCAAUGUUCUCACCAAUGGAGGCAGGCAUGCCAAACGCCAUUUUUCAUCUUAAGAAUAAGUUCCUUUGGAGCUACUGAUAGCUUGGAAUGCCAUGGUUUGUGAUUUUUGCAAAACCUGUUAACAGAAACUGAUAAUUCUGAAGAUAUAUUUAUGAUGUAUAUACUCAUAAGUAACAAGAAAAUUGCAAACAUGUAUUGAAUUAAUGGCAAAGUCUCCUGCUUGUCCCAAGCUAACUGUUCCACCCAAUUCCUAAAUAUAAGAUGCAGCCUAAGAACAGUAAUUGGACAUUCCCUUUGUUAUCAUUUUCUUCAUUCUGUUUGGCUGAUCUAUACAUCAAGUUAAUUUAUUUCAAAUCCCUUGAUAUUAAUAUCCAAAAGGAUAAAUUUGUCUCAGUCUCAGUCUUGAAAAUUUAAAUUUACUCAGUAUAGCACUACCUUUUGUGGAAGUGGGUUCCAAUUAUCCAUUGUCCUUUGUCUGAAAUGUUGCUUCCUGAUAUUCCUAAAUGGCCUGAUCUUAUUUUAAAAUUGUUCUGGAUGUCGCUUUCUUGCAAGCAUUGAAUUUAUAAAGGAAUCUUUUCUGUUUCCUUGUUCUUCUGAUUCUUUGUUCUUUAAUGGCCCUUAUACUGACAGGUGUGUAUAGUUUGCAAAUUGUUUGCACAUCAAAUACCAGCCAUGAGUAGUGGUGUCUACCUCCAUUGUUAGAUCAUUGCUCAACUUACUGAGUGAGUUAGAAUGCAAGUCAAAUUGAUGAAACCUGUCCUGAUAAUUUAAUUUACCCAACCAUGUGUUUGUGCUACACCUUUUUCAAUAGUUUCUCUGCAUCUACCCUACCAAAUUCUUGCUUUCUUGGGGCUGUGUUGGAAUCCCUUCCAUCAGUUUUCACCCCUGCAAUGAUACCAAAAAGACUAAUGUUGAAUCAUAACGACAUGCCUUGUGACUGUGACAAAAGUAAACUAUUCUCUGCUCAUCCCUACUGAUCUUUCAGGAAUCUUUGACAUGAUUGACCACACCAUCUUCCUCCAAUGCCUCACCCCUGUUCGUCUAGCAGGGUGUACAGCUACAUUCCCUGGUUCUAUUCUUAUCUAUCUAAACGUAGCCAGAGGAUCACUUACAAAUGGCUAUUCUUCCUGCUCCCACACUAUUGCUCUUGAUGUCCCUAAGAAUCUAUCUUUGGACCCCUUUUGUUUUACGUUUUCAUCUGCAUGCUGCUCAUCAAUGGGGUCUUCCAAAAACACUGUCAGUUUUCACAUAGAUUCCCUACAGUGUGGAAACAUGCCAUUCAGCUCAACAAGUCCACACCGACUCUCCAAACAGCAACCCACCCAGACACAUUUCCCAGUGCUAAUCCGCAUAACAUCGGACUGUGGGAAGAAACUGGAGCACCUGGAGGAAACCCAGGCAGACGUGGGGAGGACGUGCAAACUCCACACAGACAGUUGCCCAAGACUGGAAUUGAACCUGGUCCCUGGCGCUGUGAGGCAGCAGUGCUAACCACUGAGCCACUGUGCUGCCCCAUGUAGAAUGGUACAUGUACAAUGAUAAUGUCCAGCUCUACCUUACCAACUCUCUUGAUCCUUUCACUGCCCCUAAGUAGUCAGACAUUAGUCCAACAUCUAAUUUGGAUGGGCAGAAGUUUUCUUCAGUUAAAUAUUGAGGAAAUGGCAGUCAUUCUCUUUGGUCCCUGCCACAAAGUUUACUCUCCAGCUGUAGACCCCCAUCCCUUCUCUGUGGCGGUUGUUUUGCAGCUGUAUCAGAUUGUCCACAGCCUUGGUGUCCUAUCUGUACCUGAGGUAAGCUAUUUAAUCCAAUAUCUGUGCCAUCAUUUAGAUUGCUUAUUCCUACUUCUGUAACUUUGCUGGAUUCUGUCCAGUUAUAUGCUGGGUAGUUAAAGAACAGCAGUGGAUGUAAUGUAUUUGGAUUUUCAGAAGGCAUUUGAUAAGGUACCUUACAUUAGGCGACUUAAUAAGAGUCCAUGGUAUUGGAAGUACAGGUAGUUCUCCUAUAACACAGUAGUUGCAUUCUUGUGUGACCUCGUGCUAGAGAAAAUUGCCACAGAAAAUCGUGUUGUAGGGAAAUUGCUAUAGAAAGUCGCUAUACGUGUACAGCAGAAAGUUUGCAUUAUCCGAACAGUGUCCACUAAUUAAUCGCAUUACAGCCAAUUCGCAUUAGCGAAACAUGUGUUAUAGCAGAACUACCUGUGGUAUAUUAGCAUGGUUACAGGAUUGACUUAAUAAUAGAAAAUAGAGUUGGGAUAGGAAGUUCCUUUUACCAGAUGGCAACUUGGUGUGCAACAGAGGUCAGUGCUGGGACCACAGUUACUUACAAUAUACUGUAGUUUAAUGACUUGUAUGGGGAAAGUGAAUGUACUGAAGGUAAAUUUGCAAAAUAACAGGAAAGGCAAAUAGUGAGAUGAUAAAGAGUCUGCAGAGGGACAUAUACAAAUUAAGUGAGAAGGCAAAAGCUUAACAGAUGGAAUAUAAUGUGAGAAAAUAUGAGUUAUGCCCUUUGGCAGGAAGAAUAGAAGAGUUCAGUAUUAUUCAAAUGGAGAAAUACUGCAGAAUGCUACAGACAGAGGGAUUUUGAAGUCCUUGUCCAUGAAUUACAAAAAGCCAGCAUCUAAAUUUAGUGGGUAAUGGGGAAGGCAAGUGGAAUGUUGGCCUUUCGAAGGGAAUGGAGUGUAAAAGUAGGGACGUAAAACUAUACAAGACAUUAGUCAGAUCACAGCUGGAAUAGUGUUAACAGCUUUGGGCCCCUAAUCUACAGCAAGAUAUAGAGGCAGUUCUGGAGUCCAUUCGCAAGUCGAUUUAUAUGUAGGAUAAUGGAAAGCUGCUGUUUGUAAGUACAGGAAAUGUUCAUAUAUCAGGUUUUUAAUGAACAUAUAUGGGAUAGCAUUUGUGAGUAUGAGUAUUAAUAAAUUAGUAAAUUGGUGAGCCACUGUAUUGGCAUUGGACGUAGUCCAAAGAAGAUUCACGAGGCUGAUACUAGCCGUGGAAGGACUGUUUUAUGAAAAGAGGUUGAGUGGAUUGGACCUUUACUCAUAUUAUGGAAGAAUGUGCAGUGAUCUUAUUGAAACAUAUGAGAUCCUUAAAGUACUUGACAGGGGAGAUGCAGAUGGAUUAUUUCCCCUUGUAAGAGAUUCUAGGACCAGAGAACAUAAUCUCAGAAUAAAAAGUCACACAUUUAAGACCGAGUUGAAGAGGAAUUUCUUCUCUGAAGGUAGUUAAUCUGUAGAAUUUUUUUACCAUAGAGGGCUUUUGAGGUUGGGUCAUUAAAUAUAUUCAAGGCUGAGACAGACAUGUUUUAAUCUGUAAGGGAAUCAGGGUUAUGCAGAAAAGAAAGAAAAGUGGAAUUGAGUUUUAUCAGAUCAGGCAUGUCUCAUUCAAUGGUCAAGCAGUCUCAUGGUGGGCUGAAUGGCUUACAUCUGCUUAUACAUCUUAAAGCUCUGUCAACAUCUUAAUUUACAUCAAGUCUUUCUCACCCAACUCCCUUUUGCUCACUGUCCUAGAUUCAUUCCUGUUUAAGCAACGUCCGUUUCAAAUCCCUGUCACCUUGGCCCACCCCAUCUUCCAUUCCCAAUGUCACAGUUCUAAAAGUUAUCUGCUCUAAUUCUGACCUUAAUUGCUUCCACAGCUGCCUAACUUCUGGAAUUCCCUCUCUAAAUUUCUCUCCACCUCUUCCUUGCAUUCCUUCUUUAAGACAUUCAUUAAAAUCUACCUCUUUGGCCACCCUUAUGGUCAUUGGAUCUAAUAUCUAUUAUCUAGUAUUGUUUUAUAACGCCCCUGUGAAAUGUCUUAGUACGUUUCAUUGUAUUAAAUGUGACGUAAUUUUUAAAUCUAUGCAUCAUUUAAAAUCAGUCCCACCAAUUAAAACAUACACAUUUAAUAAGGACAGUUGCUGAUAUCAGUGAAAAAUUGAUAACCUUUAGCAAAGUUCAAAGUUCCUGGUUAUUGUAUCUAAAGUGCACUAUAUAUUUAGUGUCAGAAAUGGUUGUGCGUAUUCAUAUUUUCAUGUUCAAUUAAAAAAAACAUCGGUUUUCCAAAUUGCAAUAGUGCAGCAAUGCAAUAUACUUGCAUAUGCAACCUCUGGAUGUCUCAAAACUCUUUACAGUCAACUAAGUAGUUUUGAAGUGUAAUCAAUGUUAGGGCACACUGCAGCCAAAUUAUGCUAGGCACUGUGACAAUUAUUGGAUAAUCUGAUUUUGUGAUGUUACUUAAGAGUAAUUAUUGACCAAGAACACAGGAGAUAACUCCUCUGCUCUUUGUGUUUGGUUACUUUUAUGGCAGUACCAUCAUCUGUUGGUCUUUUAUUUUUCAGAACAUUAUUUACCAGUUAAGCUCGAAGAUCUAAAUGCCUGCUUUCCCAUGUUGAGCUUGGAUGCCAAUAUUCAGGGUCCAAUGUCUGACUCUCAAGGCAUACAUUUUUCUGCAUCUGUAUGCCCUCUGCAGGUUGUUUGAUAAUUCACUUGCACUUAGGUAUUGAGCAAGCCAGUGUGCAUACGUUGGGUUAAAGUCCUUUGUCAAAGACAUCAAUUCCAUGGCUCAGCAUGUACAUUGAGAAAACAUUUGAAUUUAUUUUUCUCAAAUUCCAAGUGCAUGCUCUCAUAGUUUAUCAUAUCGAGUACAAGGGGAAGCAGUGGCUUAAUGGUAUUGUUAGACUAUUAAUCCAGAACGACAGGUAAUGUUCUAGGUUACCUGGGUUCAUAAUCUCACCAAUGCAGAUGGUGGAAUUCUAAUUCCAUAAAAAUCUGAAAUUAAGAGUCUAAUGUUGACCAUAAAACCAUUGUUGAUUGUCGGGGUAAAACAUCUGGUUCACUGAUGUCCUUUAGGAAAGGAAACUGCUGUCUUUACCUGCUCUGGUCUUCAUGUGACUCCAGACCCACAGCACUGUGGUUGUCUCUCUACUACCUGCUGGGCAAUUAGGGAUGGGUAGUAAAUGCUGAUCUGGACAGUGAUGUACACAUUCUGUGAAUGAAUAAUGAAAAACUCCUGAUGCCUUUGUUAUUCCACACUCUGUGUCGAUGCUUCUUGUUAACAUCGGGCUCCUACCAACACAAUUGGGUGUCUUGACACUUAGGUUUGCAGCCAGAUUUCAUAAUCUAAAUUAUUAACUAUACGUGGAGAAGCUGAUCAUGUUGAUAAAAUCAUUUUGCUAAUAAACAGAAUUUUCAGAACAGUAGCAAAGUUCAUUGUGAAUGAAUUCUGGAUCAGACUAAAAGGUAACAUUUAUGUAAUAUAUUUUACAACCCAAAAUGCUUAGAACCGUUGAAGAAUUUUGAAUUGUCAUUGUUGAAAUAAAAUCAAGCAAAGAAUACAUUCACCUACUUGAAACUGUCUUUCAAAGAAUUGAACAUGGUGAAUAUUCCACAUCUCCCUCUUGUGGAAGCAAUGUCUGUACUGCAAAAUCUCAUCAGUAGUUCAUCCAUCAGUGGGUGAAUAAGCAUUUAGUUUUAUCUGGUGCAUGUAAAAUGUUUUAUGACCAUUGGAUUGAUUUGAAUUGCUGGCACAGUUAAUUAAUAGACAUGGCAGGCAUAUUCUACAUAGCAAAGUCCAAAAAGAGCAACUAAACAGAUGAUGGAUGAUCUGUUCUUGGUGUGGUUGGUUGCGAGAGAAUCUUGGAUGGAACCCUCAAGGAACUUCAUUCUCUUCUAGGAAUAAUGCCAAAGUUGUUUUACAUCUACUUCAGCAGGUAAUGAGGAUAAUUUUAAUACCAUAUCUGAAUUCAUUUAUUUAGUAACCGGUUAAAAAAGUGGCUUUGAAAUAAAUUAAGGGGGAUAAAUGAAUUAAUCUGUGUAAUUACUAAUCACUGAGAAUUAUGUUGGAGUCAAUUUUCUUACGCUACAAUGCUUUAAGUAUAAAUCAUGUAUGAUGAACAAUUGAAGAUAUUUUCUAUCUCAUAAAUUAUUUACUUGAUUUUCAAAUUAAAAUAUAAAUUACAAUCAAUUCAGCAAGUGCCACAAUUGUAAUUAAGAGCUUGUGAAUUGACUGCUCAGUGUUUGACAUGCACAUCUUUUCCCUUUUUCUCUUUUAAUCAUUUUGUUUAUAAGAAGCUGAAAAAGAAUUUCCUAGGCAGAAUUGCUGUACUCAGAGGAUUGGUAAAAUUCUCUUUCCCAAUGAUCAGUGGAGGCUAGGUCAUUGAGUUUGUCAGGGUUCAGAUAGAUAGAUAGUUGAUUGGCAUUGGAGUCAAUGGUUAUGAGAGUCAGGCUAGAAAGUGCAUUUAAGGCCAAAAUCAGAUCAGUCACAAUCUCAAUGAAUACCCUAAUCGUCUCCUUUUAUUUGUGUUCAUACUCAUAAACUCCUGAUCAGGUCUUCCUUAGGAUUUGUAAUGGUCUUUGUCUUGGAUCUCCACAUUAUUAGAACUGCAGAAGAGUUUACAUAAUAAUUUGAUCUAAGCAUGCACACAAAUUACAUGUGUAUAUAUUCUUACUUUUAGUGGCUGGUUUAUCUGAGGGGCAGGAAUUAAGCAGCAUAGUUGUUCAUAUUGGACAAUCAUUCACACGUUACAGGGAUUUAGGUUCAUGCUCUGCAUGGUUAGAUGUUAUCUAGGGCUCUUGAUGGUCAAAUUUGCCUCUUUUCAUAUUUUGGUUGGUUUUCUACACAAAUGAUCAUACAAGAGUGUCUUGGCAAACAUGAAACUCCAAAUGUUUGUCAGUAAACAGGAUGAACACUAAUGGAAACUUGCAGACAAACCUGUUGCAAUGAAAGUUUCCCUGCUAUGGGUCUGCCAGCUGAAAACGAUCUGAAAUCUCAAACACAGCUACAGAAAUGUCUUUCUUCAGAUUCAACAUGAUAACCAGCGAGUACAUGAACACGGGGAAAUGGCAGACACAUGGAACUGGACGAGUACUUUACUUGAAAAUCUAGCACCAACAGAAGCACAAGUGCUGCCAGAACUGUUGAGUUUCUUCAGCAUUUUGCUUUCAUAUGAUCAUGACACCAACCUGAGUUGGAAUUGUUCUGGUAUUCUUUCACUGUCACAGAGUCAAACCCUGGAACUCCUUAACAGCACUGCAAGUCUCCCUGCACCAGAUGGAAUACAGCAGUUCAAAGUAGCAUCUCUCUACCACCUUCUCAAGGACAAUGAGAGAUUGGCAUCAAAAGCCAGGUUGGCCAGCUAAGUCCACAUCUCAUAGAAGAUGUU
Molecule: long non-coding RNA, 7251 nt
Organism: Rhincodon typus (whale shark)
Lineage: Eukaryota; Metazoa; Chordata; Chondrichthyes; Orectolobiformes; Rhincodontidae
Exons: 3
Source: RefSeq, a predicted model, not a curated record